This 1114-nucleotide ribosomal RNA is filed under the name Salmonella enterica. RNAcentral describes it as "partial 23S ribosomal RNA". It matches the Rfam family "Bacterial large subunit ribosomal RNA", at positions 1164 to 2236 of the family's 2925-position model. The record is from RNAcentral. RNAcentral also lists the same sequence under 1 other name. Lineage: Bacteria; Pseudomonadati; Pseudomonadota; Gammaproteobacteria; Enterobacterales; Enterobacteriaceae.
AAGACAACUUUACGGAGUUGACGAUUGACGGAGCGAAGCGACGUCAAAGCGUUCAUUAAAGUCGAGUUGGCUUAGGGAUACGUUCGUUGGGUAGGGGAGCGUUCUGUAAGCCUGUGAAGGUGGCCUGUGAGGGUUGCUGGAGGUAUCAGAAGUGCGAAUGCUGACAUAAGUAACGAUAAAGCGGGUGAAAAGCCCGCUCGCCGGAAGACCAAGGGUUCCUGUCCAACGUUAAUCGGGGCAGGGUGAGUCGACCCCUAAGGCGAGGCCGAAAGGCGUAGUCGAUGGGAAACGGGUUAAUAUUCCCGUACUUGGUGUUACUGCGAAGGGGGGACGGAGAAGGCUAUGUUGGCCGGGCGACGGUUGUCCCGGUUUAAGCGUGUAGGCUGGUUUUCCAGGCAAAUCCGGAAAAUCAAGGCUGAGGCGUGACGACGAGGCACUACGGUGCUGAAGCAACAAAUGCCCUGCUUCCAGGAAAAGCCUCUAAGCAUCAGGUAACAUCAAAUCGUACCCCAAACCGACACAGGUGGUCGGGUAGAGAAUACCAAGGCGCUUGAGAGAACUCGGGUGAAGGAACUAGGCAAAAUGGUGCCGUAACUUCGGGAGAAGGCACGCUGACACGUAGGUGAAGUGAUUUACUCAUGGAGCUGAAGUCAGUCGAAGAUACCAGCUGGCUGCAACUGUUUAUUAAAAACACAGCACUGUGCAAACACGUAAGUGGACGUAUACGGUGUGACGCCUGCCCGGUGCCGGAAGGUUAAUUGAUGGGGUCAGCGCAAGCGAAGCUCCUGAUAGAAGCCCCGGUAAACGGCGGCCGUAACUAUAACGGUCCUAAGGUAGCGAAAUUCCUUGUCGGGUAAGUUCCGACCUGCACGAAUGGCGUAAUGAUGGCCAGGCUGUCUCCACCCGAGACUCAGUGAAAUUGAACUCGCUGUGAAGAUGCAGUGUACCCGCGGCAAGACGGAAAGACCCCGUGAACCUUUACUAUAGCUUGACACUGAACAUUGAGCCUUGAUGUGUAGGAUAGGUGGGAGGCUUUGAAGCGUGGACGCCAGUCUGCGUGGAGCCGACCUUGAAAUACCACCCUUUAAUGUUUGAUGUUCUAACGUGGACCCGU